This 430-nucleotide ribosomal RNA is filed under the name uncultured bacterium. RNAcentral describes it as "bacterial SSU rRNA". It matches the Rfam family "Bacterial small subunit ribosomal RNA", at positions 97 to 520 of the family's 1533-position model. The record is from RNAcentral.
GGCGAACGGGUGAGUAAUAUAUCGGAACGUACCCAGAAGUGGGGGAUAACGUAGCGAAAGUUACGCUAAUACCGCAUACGAUCUAUGGAUGAAAGUGGGGGACCUUCGGGCCUCAUGCUUUUGGAGCGGCCGAUAUCUGAUUAGCUAGUUGGUGAGGUAAAGGCUCACCAAGGCGACGAUCAGUAGCUGGUCUGAGAGGACGACCAGCCACACUGGGACUGAGACACGGCCCAGACUCCUACGGGAGGCAGCAGUGGGGAAUUUUGGACAAUGGGCGCAAGCCUGAUCCAGCAAUGCCGCGUGAGUGAAGAAGGCCUUCGNGGUUGUAAAGCUCCUUUUGUCAGGGAAGAAAACGGCUCGGGAUAAUACCUUGGGCUAAUGACGGUACCUGAAGAAUAAGCACCGGCUAACUACGUGCCAGCCGCCGCGG